Molecule: unclassified non-coding RNA, 1051 nt
Filed under: Hevea brasiliensis (rubber tree)
Lineage: Eukaryota; Viridiplantae; Streptophyta; Magnoliopsida; Malpighiales; Euphorbiaceae
Source: RNAcentral
CAAAACACAACCAUAACAAGCACACUAAGAACACGGGAAUUUUUACGUGGAAAACCUCUUCAAAUCAAAGAGGAAAAACCACGGGACUUUUGAGUCCACCACAAAUCUCCACUAUAAACAAAAUAAUGUUACAAAUACCACAUCCGCAAUUGUCACAAUACAUAAACAAAUUGAUUUCAAUAACAAAGAGAUUAAAUUCUAGAGAAGAUGAAGAAAAAGAUGAAGAAUUUCACCAAAAACACAGCAAAAUUCAUGGACUAACCAGGCUAGAAGUUUCCAAUUUCGAUCUCCACCAUUCAAACUGAAGAGCCAGAUGUCAAGAACUUGCUGACCAAAUUUGAGCUCGAUCCAAUGGUGAAUGAACUCCUACACUCCGAGAAUUUUUAACCAGGCCAACUAAAGAAGAGCUUGAUUUGCUUUACGCCACCAACUGCUAAACAAUCAAGGGUAUCCUGAAGUGAAUCCACUCUUUAUCUCCUGUACAAGAAUUACAAUCAUAAAAUACUAUUAAUCAAGUUAACAUCAACCAUCAAACAGUACAAAACAUCAAACUGGGUCAAAUUUUUUUUAAAGAUGCUGCUGCCUAACCUUUCAGUAGAAAAUCAUACAUUUUACACCAUUGCCAUGGAAACAAGUGAGAGAUUGAUAAACAGGCAUUAGAGCUGGUAAAUAGGAAUUUAAAUUUGAUUUCACAGUUCACAUCCAAGUACCAUCUUAUUUGACGAUUACUUCCCAAAGUUCCUCUUUUCUUUCUUCCUUACUUCUGCUUCAUUUCCCUUCUAUUCAUGGAAUCUAGCUAUCCCCCUAUUGAAACUUGAGAAAGAAUUAUCAGCAACGCCCCUUGGAUGUCAAGAGGUUUUGUGAGGGCAGUCUCAUCAAUCUACAACAAGUUUCAGGCUGUCUAUUGGAGUUAUCCAUAAAAAGUUCUGUAGAGGAAAAAAAGUUCCGCUUCUUUGUCCUCUCAGUAUUCACAUUCUUAUCAUGCGGGCCACUCAGUAAAAAAGUUCAUCGUCUAUAAUUAUAGACAGGAGAUGAGAAAUCUUGGACCACU